UAAGUAGGUAAAUAGUUCCUAGAAAGAAAUUGUAAAAUUUAACGAAGAAGCUAGAUUCAAUGACCUGAAAAGGUCCAUCCAGUUUGAAUGAAGCAAUACAAAUUUUGGAUGCUUUUGCCACAUUCAGUGUAUUAUAAAUCACAAAGUUUUAAAGAGUGGUGGAAAGAUCUUAGAGGACUAGGUCAGAAUAAAUCUGCCUUUAAUUUUAAAAUAGCUGUACCAUAUCUCAAGUUAGCAAGGAUAAAUUAUUUUGAUGCCUGUUUAUAUGAAAUAACCACCUGUGUCAUUGUGGAAAAAUCUAAAAUCUUGGAAAAGAAAUUUAAAUAGUUCAGUAUUUGGUAGCCAAUACUCAGUAGUAACAGCCAUGUUUUAAAGACCUGUUUUUUGAGAAGACCGCUUAUAUGUGUGAUACAGAUUGAUCUGAAAUUAUGCCGUUAUGGAGGGGUGGAGAGAGGGAUAUAUUUUAAUUUUAACGUGAAUUAUUAUAAGGCUUCUUAAAGUUCUUUCUUUAAGAAUUCAUGCAUAUUUUGAGUCACUGGCCUUUCCUUGCAUUGCCUGGCUAAAUUGGAAAGUAAAUAACAAUAUGUGUAAGUUAAUUUUUAAAACAAUAUUGUUUCUGAGGUUUAGAGAUUUGUUCUUGUCGGGUCUUGGGGUAAAGGACAAAGGUUUUAAAAGUUUGGAGUAACUAGUGCUAAUGCUCUUCCUACAGCUGUUAGUUGCUGACAGUGAUAGGCUCUGGAGAAGUAAGCUGCUUGAAACUUGUGGUCACCAGGCUUGAACUGCAGAACCAGGAGGUACACCUAAGCGUCAGUUUUAUCAAUAGCUGUAUAUUCCUGGGCCCAUUUAUGAUGAGCCUUUGUUGAGGGAAUGGGAGCAAGCUGUGGUCCCAAGGGCAGGAUGCAGACUUGAUAGAAAGAGUAGUCUUGUGAUUGUGACCUAGUCAGUACUUUAUGGUGGACCUUUAUAAAGCUUUAUUUGAUGGCCAACAGCAGGUGUAUAACUAACCGAAUGUUUGGAUAUCUAUCCCUGGUUAGGUUAUCUGUCUUUUGUCUCUGGCUCUUCCUUGCCUCAUUUUUAGAAUGGAAUUUGUAGUUGCUUAUAUUUGGAAUUUGCUUUGGGUUCUUUUUGGGGAGGUGGGGGUAAUAACAUGUUUUGUAGAGGUUAUUAAAUUGAAUAGGUAUCAUUAUGCUAAUUCUUUGUAUAUGAUAGUAUAUUACGCUGUGUGUAGUUAAUUCCAAAAGCUUGCAUUCUCAUCACCACAAAAACCCUAUUAUGUUUAUAAAAGUAGUGAUAGUUUUUUUUUUUUUUUUUUUGCAAGGAAGGAGGAUGCAAGUAAGGCAGCUUAUGCAUCAAAGAAUUAAAUGUGCAACAUGAAUUGGAUUGGGAGUGAGUAGGAUCAGUAAUAAUAUGGCCUUAAUAAUCUAUUAGAUUAGAGUAGCUAGUUUUAACUUGGUAGUAGAAGGAAGAAAGAUAAAGAGGAAAGGAGUGAAGUAGCAAGUUCUCUAAACAUAGGAAUCCUACCUUUAGCCUUACUGGGACCAUUAGGCCUAUUCUUGGUGACAGAGAGAGACUGUCUAGCAAAUCAAAGAAGUUUCUGAAGACACAUGUACUAUUCUCUGUGCACAUUGUAGUCCUUGGUAUCAUACUCUUUGGAUCACUGGAUUAAUGGUUCCAAGUGAGCCUUCAGUGAGGUGUUCGUUAGUGUUUGAGGAAAAGUAAGAGAAGUUCUUGCUUAUUGCAGCUAUUGACUGAUGACUCAUUCUCAAAAACAUAUAUCUAAAUCUUGAUCAUCCAGUAUAUACUGCAAGAUUGUCAAUAACCACCUAUAAAAUGAUAGUAGACACUGAGAUCCCUUCUGAUUUGAAAAUGAUGUGAUUUCUGUACUUAAAUGUAAUUAGCAAACCAUGUGUGUUAGGUUCUGAUGAAAUACUCAUAUUCUUAAUGCUUUAUCUAGAAAUAUUAACUGUUUAAGCUUGAGUCAAAUCACAUUUAUUGACCAUUUUACUGUAUAUUCAGUGUAAUGGGAUUGUAUAUAUACAUAAUUUAUGUAACUAUAUGCAUUGCUCUGAGCUCUGUUUUUUCCUCCUUUGAUAGGAUACAUCAAAAUACUUGGAGAUAAAUAGUUCAGAGAAAAAGCAUUCAACACUGUACAAAGACUAUAUAAAGUUACCAAGAUCAUAUCUUCUAAUACACUUAGUUUACUGUAGGGUAUUGUAAAAAUUCUACUUGACAGCCAACAGAUUGUCUUAGACCUAUUUGUAACAGUGGUGUCAAAGCCUUUUUGCUAGAUAGCCUUUGAUAUAACUUCAUGGGUUCUUACCUGGAAAUCAUUUCUUUGGGGGAAAUCAGUGUGCUGAAUGAAUUACAGCAGCAGUUCAUAAAUACCAGUGAUUUUAAUUGCACAUCAUUAAUUUAUUUAUUUUUUUAUUUUUAUUUUUUUGUCUUUUUGCUAUUUCUUUGGGCCGCUCCUGCGGCAUAUGGAGGUUCCCAGGCUAGGGGUUGAAUCGGAGCUGUAGCUGCCAGCCUAUGCCAGAGCCACAGCAACGCGGGAUCCGAGCCGCGUCUGCAACCUACACCACAGCUCAUGGCAACGCCGGAUCGUUAACCCACUGAGCAAGGGCAGGGACCGAACCCGCAACCUCAUGGAUCCUAGUUGGAUUCCUUAACCACUGCGCCAUGACGGGAACUCCUGCACAUCAUUAAUUUAAACAUAGUAGAACAUAAGACUGAGAUUUUCAUAUACUUGGAUUCUCUUUUCCCAGAUAUUUUUUUUGCCAUUUACUUCAUUCAAAUUUCACCUUAUCAGAGAAGGUUUUCCCUAUUACCUUAAUUCCCAAUACUGUUUUUCCUCCUUAUCAAUUAUGCCACCCAGCUUUUGUCUCUUUCCCCACUAGAAUAUAAAUUUCAUGAGGACAGAGUCUAUUUUGCUAAUGUCUGUACCUCCACUAGCCUAAAUUAAGUAAUUUUUUACAUUAUUGAUGAAUAAAUUAAAAUCUUACAUUUAUAUAGAUAAAGCACUUUCAUAUAAUAUUUUCUCUAAUUCUUUCAGCCACUUUGAGUUACAAACAGGACAAGUGGUGUUUUGUUUAUUUUUUCAUGAAAAUAGGUUUGUAUCUCUGUUUGACUCAAUCCACUACUUAUCCUUUUGUACAUUGUCUAGUUUUAAUGUUCAAGGAGAGUUAAAACCUGGUACCUAAGAGAUUUUUCCUUUUUCUUUUGGUGACACAGAGUAGAACUAUUGCUGAUACUACUACUACUGUUACAAAAAAGGUUUCUCUGCUACCACAAAAAGUAAUACUUAUUUCUCCUAGCAAAAUUUUUAUUAUUUAUUUAUUUAUUGCCACACCCAUGGCACAUGAGGUUCCCAGGCUAGGGGCGAAUUGGAGCCGUAGCCACUGGCCUAUACCACAGCCACAGCAGUGCCAGAUCCAAGCACACCAUAGCUCAUGGCAACACCAGAUCCUUAUCCUUAACCCACUGAGUGAGGCGGGGGAUCAGACCUUCAUCCUCAUAGAUACUAGUCAGAUUCAUUUCUGCUGUGCCAUGACUGGGACUCCCUCCUUAACAAAAAAUUUAAAAAAAUGCUUGCGUUGACAAAUCCUUAAAGGAAACAAAUUGGGAGUGGGGUUAAUCAUUUCUUGGGGAAUGGUAAUAGCAAUGAAGUAUGGGUAAGGUCAGAUUUAAAAGUUGAAGUGUAAGAAUGAAGUCAACUUUGGGGUUCAGAAAUAUCAAAUGAGCUUAAAGUCCCUACUAUGUGCCAGGUAGACAAAAGAUUGAAGUCCUAAAGAUGGAAAUGGUAGACUACGUUAGAUAGUGUGAACUUUAUAAGGUCAUCAGGCAAGAGAAGGCCUGAAGGAAGAGAAUGGGCCAACCUCCUUGAAAGAGUUUUCCCUCAGGAGUUCCUGUUGUGUCUCAGUGGGUUAAGAAUCUGACAUAGUGUCCAUGAGGGUUUGGGUUCAGUCCCUGGCUUGCUUAGUGGGUUAAGGGUCUGGCGUUGCCACAAGCUGCGGCUUAGGGCAUAGGUCACAGAUGUGUUUCAGGUCCUGUGUUGCUGUGGCUAUGGCAUAGGCCAGCAGCUGCAGCUCUGAUUAGACCCCCAGCCAGGGAACGUCAUAUGCUGUGGGUGUGGCUGUUAUUAAAAAAAAAAAAAAUUCUUCUAUACAAGACAUGGCUGGGUAGUUAGAAAGAACCUGGUGCACUUAACAGAAAGGAAGCCAAGAGGAAGGAAGGCAUGGGGGGUGCUGGGCCAGGUCAUAAAGGGCCAGACCACACAAGACUUUG
Molecule: long non-coding RNA, 4281 nt
Filed under: Sus scrofa (pig)
Lineage: Eukaryota; Metazoa; Chordata; Mammalia; Artiodactyla; Suidae
Description: lncRNA (ENSSSCG00005013157.1)
Source: RNAcentral